RNAcentral lists this ribosomal RNA (271 nucleotides) under uncultured bacterium. RNAcentral's name for it is "partial 16S ribosomal RNA". It matches the Rfam family "Bacterial small subunit ribosomal RNA", at positions 335 to 622 of the family's 1533-position model. The record is from RNAcentral.
UAACCUACGGGGCGCAGCAGUGGGGAAUAUUGCACAAUGGGGGAAACCCUGAUGCAGCAACGCCGCGUGAAGGAAGACGGUUUUCGGAUUGUAAACUUCUGUUCUUAGUGAAGAAUAAUGACGGUAGCUAAGGAGCAAGCCACGGCUAACUACGUGCCAGCAGCCGCGGUAAUACGUAGGUGGCAAGCGUUGUCUGGAAUUACUGGGUGUAAAGGGAGCGCAGGCGGGAAGCCAAGUCAGCUGUGAAAACGACGGGAUUAACUUGUGGACU